GGCGAACGCUGGCGGCGUGCUUAACACAUGCAAGUCGAACGGAAAGGCCCUGCUUUUGUGGGGUGCUCGAGUGGCGAACGGGUGAGUAACACGUGAGUAACCUGCCCUUGACUUUGGGAUAACUUCAGGAAACUGGGGCUAAUACCGGAUAGGAGCUCCUGCUGCAUGGUGGGGGGUUGGAAAGUUUCGGCGGUUGGGGAUGGACUCGCGGCUUAUCAGCUUGUUGGUGGGGUAGUGGCUUACCAAGGCUUUGACGGGUAGCCGGCCUGAGAGGGUGACCGGCCACAUUGGGACUGAGAUACGGCCCAGACUCCUACGGGAGGCAGCAGUGGGGAAUAUUGCACAAUGGGCGGAAGCCUGAUGCAGCAACGCCGCGUGCGGGAUGACGGCCUUCGGGUUGUAAACCGCUUUCGCCUGUGACGAAGCGUGAGUGACGGUAAUGGGUAAAGAAGCACCGGCUAACUACGUG
RNAcentral lists this ribosomal RNA (469 nucleotides) under uncultured bacterium. RNAcentral's name for it is "partial 16S ribosomal RNA". It matches the Rfam family "Bacterial small subunit ribosomal RNA", at positions 28 to 507 of the family's 1533-position model. The record is from RNAcentral.